GGUCGUUUCACCGGUCAGAAGUCCUCGGUGACCCCGCACACCGCCGCUUUCACACGGUCAACGUAUCCAAUCAGAUUUCACUGCCACGGAGAAAGCUACUGGUUGCUGCUAGCUAGCCAAGUUAGCUCUGUGUGGCCGGGCUUCGGGAAAGUGGCAGGGGGACGGAGAGGACGGAGAGCUGUCAGGAUAUCAUAGCAGUGGAGUCACCGAGUCCCGACGAACAACCUAACGACACAUAAAGGUUAAAUCACAACGACAUAUAUCUGUAUUGUCGGCACAGCGAGCCUCUUGAGUUGCCAAAAAAAUACGGUCAGCUAGAUGGCCUAGCUGUUGGAUAUUUCGGAAUUCUGACAAGACGACGGCCACUUCUAUCGCGUUAUAAACCCGACGCUGACACGGCCCCGUUGCCACAGCAACAUACUCCGACGACGUCGUCUUCCGUAGUUUGUAUCCCGGUAGGCAAAAAAAAAAAAGAAAAAGAAAAAAGCUGUCAACACAGACCAGAGUCAGCCGAUCACUGUCAAGUUUUUUUUUUUUGUCGGGGUCCCGGUUGACAGAUCAACUGUGCGGGGGCUUCGGCGAGCCAGCUAAAUAUGGUGAAGUUGCCUUUCUGACACCGACAGGAAGAGGUGGGCUCUGUGUCAGCAGACGUCAGAAUUAUGUUACUCCGCCUUCACUCAAGAUGGUAGCGGGCGCGGAAGGCCACAAGACGAGCAUAGUAGGCUGGCGCAGGGAUGGAGACUGAGCGGGUGCAACGCACCUGUCCCUCAGGAACUCCAUCCCUGUAGAAGAUGAUCCUGGUGGGCUUGAAACGGGUCGAUUUGUAGAACUGAAUGAGCAGUUCACGCACCAUGUAAGACAGAUCUUCAAUGAUCUCCUGCCGGGGUCUCUGGACCCGCACUGUGGCACAGUAUCUGCUGGGAUGAGCGUCCAUACUGCCUACCACCUGGAAAAGAGCAGAGGAAGAGAGUGAGCGAGUCUGGAGGAUCUGAGACAGACCCGCUCUCCUCUCCCAUCCUCCCUGUGUGUGACUCAAGGGUUUGUCAUAAUCGCUAGGCAACAACACAGCCAACCACAAGCGAGCUGAGGUCAAGGGCGUACGAGGAGCUGACGUCAUUUCCUGUAUGAACUUCAGAAGUGAAGAAGCCUUUCGGAGGAGGAGAGGUGAAACGUCUUCAAGACCUUCAGCUAAGUCCAGUUGCCUUUUGGAUCAAGCUUCGAAUUGACCACGAGCUGGAUGACUGAGAACCUACACAGACAUCUUUUCUACGACAUCUGCAGGUCACAUUUGCAUUGUGUCCCUGCCAGCUCAGUAUCUGGACUGCCACCAGUGUUAUCACACCACACUGUGGACGGUUGCUAACUUCAUUUGGCGUGUAGUUUUUGCUUUACAUAAUAAAAAAAAAAGCCUCAUAAAUAGAUGACAAAAUAAAAGUUUGCAUGGCUUUGAACAGACUUGGAAAAAGAGGGCUGAUAGUUGGGAAGGCUGUGUUGGCAAACAUUCAGACUUCUAAAAGGCUACUAUUCCCCUGAUAAAGUUUUGAUCCACUUCUAGCCAUCUGUGUAUCCAUGCUGACAGAGCUGCAGUAUUUGGUGCUUUUUGAUGUCUAACACUGGCAGCUGGGGGGACGAAACCUACCUUACAGUCAAGAUAAUCAGCUCUGUGAGACGUAUGAAUAUUUAGGGCUACUUUUACAUAUGCACUAUUACAUUUUCAGAAAAUGUCAGGACAGCCUGCCCCUGACAUUUUCAAUGUCAAUGCUAUGAUGAGAUUUUUUUUCCCUUUAUAUCAAUGCAAGGUGUUAUUGAACGUAUUCACAGUAUCACUCAUAUUGGCUGUUGCUUUCAAGGCUGCAUGAAAAAACCUGAAAUGAUUGAAGCAAAGAACACUUUCAUCUUACACUUAGAUACCUCAAGAAAUUGUCUGAUUUUUCUUUCUACGUGUUUCUUGGUAGCAGACAGUUGUAAAGACAUACUAAAACUAAUAAAUGAAGAAAUUCUGUGCCAGACUGUUCAGCACAGGUCUACAUUUCUGUUUCACGCCCCUCUACAACAUCCCUGUUUUUACGACAGCCUUUAAUCUUUACAGACUAAAACAACAGUUUUAUUAUACUGCUGAAAUUGCCACUAUUUUUUUUAAGUUUAUUGCCCUGGACUU
Labrus bergylta (ballan wrasse) is the source of this 2158-nucleotide non-coding RNA. The record is from RefSeq and is a predicted model, not a curated record. Lineage: Eukaryota; Metazoa; Chordata; Actinopteri; Labriformes; Labridae.